AAUCCAUAGGUUAAUGAGGCGAACCGGGGGAACUGAAACAUCUAAGUACCCCGAGGAAAAGAAAUCAACCGAGAUUCCCCCAGUAGCGGCGAGCGAACGGGGAGGAGCCCAGAGCCUGAAUCAGCAUGUGUGUUAGUGGAAGCGUCUGGAAAGGCGCGCGAUACAGGGUGACAGCCCCGUACACAAAAGCGCAUGUGCUGUGAGCUCGAUGAGUAGGGCGGGACACGUGGUAUCCUGUCUGAAUAUGGGGGGACCAUCCUCCAAGGCUAAAUACUCCUGACUGACCGAUAGUGAACCAGUACCGUGAGGGAAAGGCGAAAAGAACCCCGGCGAGGGGAGUGAAAAAGAACCUGAAACCGUGUACGUACAAGCAGUGGGAGCACAGGUUUACCUGUGUGACUGCGUACCUUUUGUAUAAUGGGUCAGCGACUUAUAUUCUGUAGCAAGGUUAACCGAAUAGGGGAGCCGGAGGGAAACCGAGUCUUAACCGGGCGUUAAGUUGCAGGGUAUAGACCCGAAACCCGGUGAUCUAGCCAUGGGCAGGUUGAAGGUUGGGUAACACUAACUGGAGGACCGAACCGACUAAUGUUGAAAAAUUAGCGGAUGACCUGUGGCUGGGGGUGAAAGGCCAAUCAAACCGGGAGAUAGCUGGUUCUCCCCGAAAGCUAUUUAGGUAGCGCCUCGUGAAUUCAUCUCCGGGGGUAGAGCACUGUUUCGGCUAGGGGGCCAUCCCGGCUUACCAACCCGAUGCAAACUGCGAAUACCGGAGAAUGUUAUCACGGGAGACACACGGCGGGUGCUAACGUCCGUCGUGAAGAGGGAAACAACCCAGACCGCCAGCUAAGGUCCCAAAGUCAUGGUUAAGUGGGAAACGAUGUGGGAAGGCCCAGACAGCCAGGAUGUUGGCUUAGAAGCAGCCAUCAUUUAAAGAAAGCGUAAUAGCUCACUGGUCGAGUCGGCCUGCGCGGAAGAUGUAACGGGGCUAAACCAUG
Molecule: ribosomal RNA, 992 nt
Filed under: Salmonella enterica subsp. enterica serovar Newport
Lineage: Bacteria; Pseudomonadati; Pseudomonadota; Gammaproteobacteria; Enterobacterales; Enterobacteriaceae
Also listed under: 1 other name
Description: partial 23S ribosomal RNA
Rfam family: Bacterial large subunit ribosomal RNA
Source: RNAcentral